AAUAUUGGACAAUGGGCGAAAGCCUGAUCCAGCCAUGCCGCGUGUGUGAAGAAGGNCUNNGGAUUNUNAAGCACUUUUGGCAGNNNNNAAAAGGCUCUGGCUAAUACCUGGAGCUGCUGACGGUACCUGCAGAAUAAGCACCGGCUAACUACGUGCCAGCAGCCGCGGUAAUACGUAGGGUGCAAGCGUUAAUCGGAAUUACUGGGCGUAAAGCGUGCGCAGGCGGUUCGGCAAGAAGGAUGUGAAAUCCCAGGGCUUAACCUUGGAACUGCAUUCUUAACUGCCGGGCUAGAGUAUGUCAGAGGGGGGUAGAAUUCCGCGUGUAGCAGUGAAAUGCGUAGAGAUGCGGAGGAAUACCGAUGGCGAAGGCAGCCCCCUGGGAUAAUACUGACGCUCAUGCACGAAAGCGUGGGGAGCAAAC
RNAcentral lists this ribosomal RNA (421 nucleotides) under uncultured bacterium. RNAcentral's name for it is "partial 16S ribosomal RNA". It matches the Rfam family "Bacterial small subunit ribosomal RNA", at positions 360 to 773 of the family's 1533-position model. The record is from RNAcentral.